This 757-nucleotide long non-coding RNA is filed under the name Ananas comosus (pineapple). Its description in RNAcentral is "long non-coding RNA (ACOM_LNC037710)". Lineage: Eukaryota; Viridiplantae; Streptophyta; Magnoliopsida; Poales; Bromeliaceae. The record is from RNAcentral.
UAUAUAUAUAUAUAUAUAUAUAUAUAUAUAUAGUAGAGCUACUAUGCUAUCAAAAGUAUAGAGGAUCUAGUGCUUUCGAUUUUUUGAUUUUUAAAUCAACCCCUUUAAUCAUUUUUUAUCUUUGGAUUAAUACUAUUAUUAUCUUGUAGGGACCACUCAAUCCUAGGAAUAUUACUUAAUCCUAGGGGGGACCGCAAUCAUCCCAACCAUACAAUUCUUAAUCAAAGGGUCAAAAAUUCGAAAAUAUCAAAUCCUCUAUAUUUUCGAUAGCAUAGAUAGUUAUACACACUAUAUAUAUAUAUAUAUAUAUAUAUAUUAAAAAAUAUAUAAAUAUAUUAUAUUUUAAUUAUAUAUAGGCUGAGUGAAUAAUUUAAGUUUAGUUAAAAUUAGGCCAAUGUUGUUGGCCCAUAAAAACAAACCCAAUAGACAAAUAAAAGAGCAAAAUUUCACUAAAUUUAUACAUUUUUCCUUUCUUUCUUUUUUUCAUAGAGCUCUAAAUUUUCAAUAUAUUUCUCUCUCUCUUUUUCUGUCUCUCACUCUAAGUGGCCAAGCCGGAAGCCCUCAAAGUUACUAAGUAACAAUAUAUACCCGUCGUUGCCUACCUUGCUAUUAAUUGUAUGCUUGAGAAAAUAUACAGAAUAUUUUUAAAGUACAAAAUUAUUAUUCAUAUAAAAUUUUAAUUUUAGUUAUAUAUGAUUGAAUAGUUUAAUCCAAUAUUUAUCUAUAUAAUUUAUUUAUUUUUGAUUGCAUAAAUGAA